RNAcentral lists this ribosomal RNA (490 nucleotides) under uncultured bacterium. Its description in RNAcentral is "partial 16S ribosomal RNA". It matches the Rfam family "Bacterial small subunit ribosomal RNA", at positions 30 to 507 of the family's 1533-position model. The record is from RNAcentral.
AUUGAACGCUGGCGGCAGGCCUAACACAUGCAAGUCGAACGGUAACAGGAAGCAGCUUGCUGCUUUGCUGACGAGUUGCGGACGGGUGAGUAAUGUCUGGGAAACUGCCUGAUGGAGGGGGAUAACUACUGGAAACGGUAGCUAAUACCGCAUAACGUCGCAAGACCAAAGAGGGGGACCUUCGGGCCUCUUGCCAUCGGAUGUGCCCAGAUGGGAUUAGCUAGUAGGUGGGGUAACGGCUCACCUAGGCGACGAUCCCUAGCUGGUCUGAGAGGAUGACCAGCCACACUGGAACUGAGACACGGUCCAGACUCCUACGGGAGGCAGCAGUGGGGAAUAUUGCACAAUGGGCGCAAGCCUGAUGCAGCCAUGCCGCGUGUAUGAAGAAGGCCUUCGGGUUGUAAAGUACUUUCAGCGGGGAGGAAGGGAGUAAAGUUAAUACCUUUGCUCAUUGACGUUACCCGCAGAAGAAGCACCGGCUAACUCCGUG